Molecule: transfer RNA, 62 nt
Filed under: Crotalus atrox (western diamondback rattlesnake)
Lineage: Eukaryota; Metazoa; Chordata; Lepidosauria; Squamata; Viperidae
Description: tRNA-His
Source: RNAcentral
AGUGUGCGUAAUUUAAAGAAAAUAUCAAGCUGUGACCUUGAAAAUAGGUUAACCUCGCACAC